This 279-nucleotide ribosomal RNA is filed under the name Escherichia coli. RNAcentral's name for it is "partial 23S ribosomal RNA". It matches the Rfam family "Bacterial large subunit ribosomal RNA", at positions 1 to 281 of the family's 2925-position model. Lineage: Bacteria; Pseudomonadati; Pseudomonadota; Gammaproteobacteria; Enterobacterales; Enterobacteriaceae. The record is from RNAcentral.
GUUAAGCGACUAAGCGUACACGGUGGAUGCCCUGGCAGUCAGAGGCGAUGAAGGACGUGCUAAUCUGCGAUAAGCGUCGGUAAGGUGAUAUGAACCGUUAUAACCGGCGAUUUCCGAAUGGGGAAACCCAGUGUGAUUCGUCACACUAUCAUUAACUGAAUCCAUAGGUUAAUGAGGCGAACCGGGGGAACUGAAACAUCUAAGUACCCCGAGGAAAAGAAAUCAACCGAGAUUCCCCCAGUAGCGGCGAGCGAACGGGGAGCAGCCCAGAGCCUGAAU